UUGUUUAUGAUGAAAAUUUUCUCAGCUCACUCUGAUCUGUACUGAAGACACAACUGUUUCCAACAUUCAUCAAAUUUACUGAUAACAA
Small nucleolar RNA from Pichia membranifaciens, 88 nucleotides. The record is from Rfam. Lineage: Eukaryota; Fungi; Ascomycota; Pichiomycetes; Pichiales; Pichiaceae.